This 465-nucleotide ribosomal RNA is filed under the name uncultured bacterium. Its description in RNAcentral is "partial 16S ribosomal RNA". It matches the Rfam family "Bacterial small subunit ribosomal RNA", at positions 28 to 507 of the family's 1533-position model. The record is from RNAcentral.
GACGAACGCUGGCGGCGUGCUUAACACAUGCAAGUCGUACGGUAAGGCCCUUUCGGGGGUACACGAGUGGCGAACGGGUGAGUAACACGUGAGUAACCUGCCCACAACUUUGGGAUAACGCUAGGAAACUGGUGCUAAUACUGGAUAUGUGCUCCUGCUGCAUGGUGGGGGUUGGAAAGCUCCGGCGGUUGUGGAUGGACUCGCGGCCUAUCAGCUUGUUGGUGGGGUAGUGGCCUACCAAGGCGGCGACUGGUAGCCGGCCUGAGAGGGUGACCGGCCACAUUGGGACUGGGAUACGGCCCAGACUCCUACGGGAGGCAGCAGUGGGGAAUAUUGCAAAAUGGGCGCAAGCCUGAUGCAGCAACGCCGCGUGCGGGAUGACGGCCUUCGGGUUGUAAACCGCUUUCAGCAGGGACGAAGCUUUUUGUGACGGUACCUGCAGAAGAAGCACCGGCUAACUACGUG